This 791-nucleotide ribosomal RNA is filed under the name Philometra thaiensis. RNAcentral's name for it is "SSU rRNA". It matches the Rfam family "Eukaryotic small subunit ribosomal RNA", at positions 113 to 904 of the family's 1831-position model. The record is from RNAcentral. Lineage: Eukaryota; Metazoa; Nematoda; Chromadorea; Rhabditida; Philometridae.
UUAUUUACUUGAUUUAGAUUCCAUACGUGGAUAACUGUGGCAAUUCUAGAGCUAAUACAUGCACCAAAGCUCCGACUCGUUGACGAGCGCAUCUAUUAGAAUAAAACCAAUCGAGACAGUGUCUCGUCCAUUUGGUGACUCUGAAUAGCUUAGCUGAUCGCAUGGUCACGCACCGGCGACGUAUCUAUCAAGUAUCUGCCUUAUCAACUUUCGAUGGUAGUUUAUAUGACUACCAUGGUUGUAACGGGUAACGGAGAAUAAGGGUUCGACUCCGGAGAGGGAGCCUGAGAAACGGCUACCACUUCCAAGGAAGGCAGCAGGCGCGCAAAUUACCCACUCUCAGCUCAGAGGAGGUAGUGACGAAAAAUAACGAGACCGUACUCGAUGAGGCCGGUUAUCGGAAUGGGUACAAUUUAAACCCGUUAACGAGGAUCUAUGAGAGGGCAAGUCUGGUGCCAGCAGCCGCGGUAAUUCCAGCUCUCAAAGUGUAUAUCGGCAUUGCUGCGGUUAAAAAGCUCGUAGUUGGAUUUCAGCCUUACGACGUGGUCCAUUCAUUGAAUGCGAACUACGCCUCGUAGGCUAUAUUGAUGUUGGUUUUUCCUUACGUUGCUCUAAUCGGCUGCGUAAGGUGGCUAACGAGUUUACCUUGAAAAAAUUAGAGUGCUCAACGCGGGCUAACGCCUGAAUACUCGUGCAUGGAAUAAUGGAAUAGGAUCUCGGUUCUAUUUUGUUGGUUUUCUGAUCUGAGAUAAUGGUUAAGAGGGACAGACGGGGGCAUUCGUAUCGCUGCG